GAAUAUAAAAAAUUAUUUUUAUUAUUUAUUUAUAUAGAAUUUUAACAAAAGAAAUUUUAGUUUUAUUAAAUUAUUUGAAAAAAUUUUUUUUAUUAUAGUAAAAUAGUAUUGUGAAAGAAAUUUUUAUAAAUAUUUAAAAGAAAAAUUAAAGAUUUGUACCUUGUGUAUCAGGGUUAAUUAAAUAAAAUUUAUUUAUUUAAAUUUCUCGAAUUUAAAAGAGUUAAUUAUUUAUUAAUUUUAUUGUAAAAUAAAUAUUUAUAAUAAAUAAUUAGAAAUGAAAUGUUAUUCGUUUUUGAAUAUAUCUAGUUUUUAAAGAAAUAAAUUUAAUUUAGUUAUUAUUAUAUAAAAUUUUAUUUUAAUAAUUUUUUAUUAAUAAUAAAUAAUUUUUUUAGGGAUAAGCUUAAAAAAAAAAUAUUAUAAUUUAAUUAAAAAUAUAUAAGUUAUAAAAUUAGAAUUUUUUAUAAAUAAUAAAUUGUUAUAAAUAAUUAUAUUUGGAAUUAUAUUUUUAUUAAAUUUAAAUUAUUUAUUUAAAUAAUUUUUUUAAUUUUAAAAGAAAUGAAAUAAUGAUUAAAUUAGUAUAAAUGAAUGUAUAAAUAAUUAUAUAAUUUAGGUUAUUUUAAGGAAUUCGGCAAAAUUAUUUUUCACCUGUUUAAUAAAAACAUGUCCUUUUGAAUAUAAUUUAAGGUCUAAUCUGCCCACUGAAAAAUUGAAUGGCCGCGGUAUUUUGACCGUGCAAAGGUAGCAUAAUAAUUAGUUUUUUAAUUGAAAGCUGGUAUGAAUGAUUGGAUGAGAAAAUAACUGUCUUAAAAUAAUUUUUUUAGAAUUUUAUAUUUAAGUAAAAAAGCUUAAAUAAAAUUAAAAGACGAGAAGACCCUAUAGAGUUUAAUAAUUAUUUACUAUCUUAUUUAUGGUUUA
This 915-nucleotide ribosomal RNA is filed under the name Opetiopalpus scutellaris. RNAcentral describes it as "partial 16S ribosomal RNA". The record is from RNAcentral. Lineage: Eukaryota; Metazoa; Arthropoda; Insecta; Coleoptera; Cleridae.